AGUGAAUAGAUACCCCGGUAGUCCUAGCCGUAAACGAUACUCGCUAGGCGUCGGCCACGGUGCGACCGUUGUCGGUGCCGUAGGGAAAGCCGUGAAGCGAGCCACCUGGGAAGUACGGCCGCAAGGCUGAAACUUAAAGGAAUUGGCGGGGGAGCACCACAACGGGUGGAGCUUGCGGUUUAAUUGGAUUCAACGCCGGAAAUCUUACCGGGACCGACAGCAACAUGAAGGCCAGGCUGAAGACUUUGCCGGAUUAGCUGAGAGGUGGUGCAUGGCCGUCGUCAGUUCGUACUGUGAAAGCAUCCUGUUAAGUCAGGCAACGAGCGAGACCCACGCCCACAGUUGCCAGCGUACUCUCCGGAGUGACGGGUACACUGUGGGGACCGCCGCUGCUAAAGCGGAGGAAGGAAUGGGCAACGGUAGGUCAGUAUGCCCCGAAUAUCCCGGGCUACACGCGAGCUACAAUGGUUGGUACAAUGGGUAUCUACCCCGAAAGGGGAUGGAAAUCUCCUAAAGCCAAUCUUAGUUCGGAUUGAGGGCUGCAACUCGCCCUC
RNAcentral lists this ribosomal RNA (554 nucleotides) under uncultured bacterium. Its description in RNAcentral is "bacterial SSU rRNA". It matches the Rfam family "Archaeal small subunit ribosomal RNA", at positions 724 to 1275 of the family's 1478-position model. The record is from RNAcentral.